This 253-nucleotide ribosomal RNA is filed under the name uncultured bacterium. RNAcentral's name for it is "partial 16S ribosomal RNA". It matches the Rfam family "Bacterial small subunit ribosomal RNA", at positions 524 to 776 of the family's 1533-position model. The record is from RNAcentral.
UACGUAGGUGGCAAGCGUUGUCCGGAAUUACUGGGUGUAAAGGGCGUGUAGGCGGGAAUGCAAGUCAGAUGUGAAAUUCCGGGGCUCAACCCCGGCGCUGCAUCUGAAACUGUAUUUCUUGAGUGCUGGAGAGGAAAGCGGAAUUCCUAGUGUAGCGGUGAAAUGCGUAGAUAUCAGGAAGAACACCCGUGGCGAAGGCGGCUCUCUGGAACGCAACUGACGCUGAGACGCGAAAGCGUGGGGAGCAAACAGG